Long non-coding RNA from Acinonyx jubatus (cheetah), 792 nucleotides. RefSeq lists it as uncharacterized. The record is from RefSeq and is a predicted model, not a curated record. The transcript has 2 exons. Lineage: Eukaryota; Metazoa; Chordata; Mammalia; Carnivora; Felidae.
GGGAGGGUAGUCACACGUGCCCCUUGUGAAAGAUGCUAUUAGCAUCCCGCACUUGGUCCACACCUCCUGAUACCAGGUCAGAGCUGAACCUAUAUAAAAUGUGGAAGCUUCUAACAGCACCUCAGUCCACCUGAAUCCUGGGUGAUCUCCAGUGCUUGAGCCAGCCUCAUUCAGUUCCUGCCAAGAUGUCCUGCCAGCAGAACCAGCAGCAGUGCCAGCCCCCUCCCAAGUGCCCCUCCAAAUGCCCUCCCAAGUGCCCCCCCAAAUGCCCCCCUAAGUGUCCAGCCCCUUGCCUACCUCCAGUUUCCUGCUGUGGCUCCAGCUCCGGGGGCGGGGGCUGCUGCAGCUCCGGGGGUGGGGGCUGCUGCCUGAGCCACCACAGGCCCCGCCGAUCUCUUCGACACCGACACCAGAGCUCUGACUGCUGUGGUGGUGGUGGUGGUGACCAUUCUGGAGGCUCCAGCUGCUGCUCUGGGGGCUGCUGCUGACCCCGGGCCCCAAGGAUCACUGAAGAACAGCACUGGAGGAGCCAAAGUGCCGAAGACCCACCCAGCCUGAGACUUCUCUUCCUCCAUUUGGAAGAACAGAAGGCAAGGAUGGAAGGGCUUCUGAAAUGUUCUGGGUUUCCCUCUUCGUCCCACCCAUGUCCAGUCCAUGGCUGUGAGGUCUUGAGGUUUAACCUCUAACGUUCACUAGCCUGAUUCCCUCUUGGACACAGAUCUUUGGGGGACUUGGUGUUGGAGUCCAGUUAUGAAGCUGCUUCCUCUGUACAAUAAAGCUUUUUAUUCCUGA